UAGGAUUAUAUAGACCACCAGGCUGUGGGUUGGGCCAACAUAGGACAAGCAUGAUUUAAGGUCCGACGGAUAUAGGGAAAGAUAUGCAGCAAGUAAUGGGCAUUCUAAAAUAACUGCUGGCAGAUCUUACCACAAAUCAUUUGAUGAUGCAGUGGCGCAGAAUCGUCUAUCCCAUGACGCAUUGCCUUUCUCUAAUGUAAAAAACAAGAACAGAUCUGGAGAUUUUAGUAGAUGUCUAGACAACCUUCUGACAUCAAUAAACAACCUAACUCAAAGAGAGCUACUG
Molecule: long non-coding RNA, 286 nt
Organism: Nanorana parkeri
Lineage: Eukaryota; Metazoa; Chordata; Amphibia; Anura; Dicroglossidae
Exons: 3
Source: RefSeq, a predicted model, not a curated record